Long non-coding RNA from Brassica rapa (field mustard), 3870 nucleotides. RefSeq lists it as uncharacterized. NCBI's taxonomy places the organism in Eukaryota, Viridiplantae, Streptophyta, Magnoliopsida, Brassicales, Brassicaceae. The record is from RefSeq and is a predicted model, not a curated record.
GCCAACCCCUCCUUCUUUUGUGAUGCCAAGGCUAGCCUUUACUCUGUCCCUGAUCUCCAAUGGUGUCUUUUUGGAGAAGGUGAUGGCUGAUUUUGUUGUGUUGAUCAUCUGUCCGGAGACUGAUUCAUACUGUUGGAGCACUUUUUUAGGGCCGCAACACAUGCUGGUGACGUUUUGGUGAAGAACAUAGUGUCGUCAGCGAAUAAGAGGUGGUUAAUUCGAGGACUUCCCCGUGCCAUGCGUAUCCCUGAGAGCAGCCCUCGUCUCGGAGCCACAUAACAUAGGCCGGAAAGGACUUCGCUACACAUGAUGAAGAUGAAGGGGGAUAGUGGAUCGCCUUGUCGUAUCCCGCGAGACGGGACGAUCAGGCCUUGAGCUUCUAAUAUUUCUUUAUUAUCUCACAUUCCUAUAGUCUUAUCUGCCAGAGAAGCAAAAUAUAAAUCGAAAACAUCAAAAACAAACCCCGCGCAAGCUCGGGGCCAAGCCCCUAGUUGUAAUAAAAAAAGGAAAAUAUACAAACAAAAUGUUACUGGGUGGAGUCGAACCAGAUAAUGGGGUGUCAGUUGAAAGGGAAAUCAACCAACUGAACUACAAACUUCUUCAGCUAUUAACAUACAAACACCAAAAUAUAAAAUUAAACAUGUGUCAGAUGACACCCCAUUCUAUAACGUAGAUCCGCCUCUGACCAUUUGUAGUCGAAUCAGCCAGAAGAAGUGAGAUGAGAAGCAACCUAAAUACAUCAGCUAAACAGACUAGGCUAUAGUUCUUGCAAAUUGGUCGACACAUGAAGCAAAAGCAAAGAUUCAAUCCCCAGCUGGAUCCCGCACGUCUGCUCCACCAGGGAAGACGAUGCACAAGCACGGUGCUGGACCACAGACCUCUGUAAAUAUUGAGUAUAACAUGAUUAUUGAUGAUGAUUUUGAGGAACCACCACCUUGUGAGGAAGACUCUCAUACGUAAAGAUGGUUCGUUCAUCGAUGAACGUGCAGAGGCUGUGGUUCUGGAGGUUGAGGAAACCAUUGAAGAGAUGACACAUGAUGGAUCUCCACUUGGCGACAGCCAAACUACCUCAACUGCUGCUACAACACAUUCAAGGCGCUUUCUCCUCAACCAAGAAUGCAUCAAGGUAAGCUCUUCUCACUUAAUUCUCAUUUUGGUUAAUACAUAUGUACUGAACUUGUGAACUUCUAAACCUGUGAUAAGAUAGAUGUUUGUUCAUAACUUGUUUAUAAUUUGUGUUAGAUAGAUGCUUUUGUGAGUUAACUUGUUUAGAACGUGUGCUAGGAUAUGAUCUCUGUGAUUUGUUGUUUGUAUAUUGUAUCUGAAUCACUACAAGAAAACUCAUUUAUAAAGACGACGGUUUUCGUAGUUAUUCCGUCGUAAAAUAGGGUUUACAAUGAAUUAACUACGAAAGCCAUUUCCUCGUUAAAUUUAUGUUCUAACGUAUAUUUCCUUGCUAAUUCGUCGUAAAUAUACGAGGAAAGCUUUCGUCGUAAAGUGGGGUCAACAAUUUCCUCGUAAAAGCCACAUAAACUAUUUCCCCAUAAAAGCCACGUAAACUCUUUCCUCAUAAAAGCCACGUAAACAUAUCCAUCGUAAAGUACACGUAAAUAAUUUCCUCGUAAAGUACAUCCAAAUCAUUUCCUCGUAAAGUACACAUAAAGGUUUUCCUUGUAAAGUACACGUAAACAAUUUCCUCGUAAAGUAGAUGUUCAAUUUCGUCAUUAUUUACAUGUAAAUUUACGACGAAUCUGCUUGUCUUUCAUGGUAAAUUCCUCGGUAACAAUUUUCAGUUUCCUCCUUAACUAGACGUAAAUUAGCUGCAAAUUUUCUUCGAUUCUUUAUUCUUUACAAAAACAAAAAUAUAAUCAAAUAUAUUUUUAAAUUUAUUUCAGAAUUCUUAAAAAUGUAAAUAAUAUAAAUCAAUACGAAAAUAUUUUAUAAAUAUUUAAGUUUCAAAUUUAUAAUACAAAAUAAAAAGAAGAAAAAAAAACUAAGGAUUGUUGUUGUGGAGCUCGUCGAAGAACUCAUGACUCCUCCCCAUACUUCUUCUUCAUCCUCCUCUGUGUGGGAUGGCUCUGGAAUGGGAUUUCGUGUCUGCAUAUCCGCAAACAUGGUCUCCAAAUGAGGAUUUCCAGCCGCUAUAACGUCUAGAAAGCCCUCGACUGAAGUCAUACGAGCUGUGAACGUAAACCGCGUCGAGUUCAUCUAAGAACACAGCUGAAUGACUUCAUCAGCCCGUCUGACCAUAAGAUGAUGUCGCUCUUGGGACAUCGUUGACGGAACCAAUCCCCAACGUACGUCCAUUUUUCUUAGGGACAACCUUAAAAAAAGAUUAAUAUUAUUAAAAAAAUAGAUUAAAUGAAUAAUAAUAAUAAUAAUAAAAGAUUUAAAAAAUUUUACAUCCUCGUAAAUCUGAUCUACUUCAAGUGUGGAUAAUGUGACCGGUAUUCCAUCGGGAGACUGCUGGGUCAGCUGGGUUUGGCGGUCUUCAAUCCGAGCAACCACCUCGUUAAAGAUUUGCUCGGACCUAGGAUCUACAAAUUGCCCAGCCUUGUUCUUGUGAGUCCUCUCGUAAAGAUCCUUAAGAGACGGGAGAACUCCUGUCUCUUUGGCCUAAAAAACAUUUAUGAAGUUAGAAUAUAUUAAAAAAUAAUAAUUAAUUAAAAUAUUUACCAUAACCAUACGGACACCGGCGUGGGGUUUUUGACCCGUAGUGUGAAGCAUCGGCCCGUUGCCCUGCUCAUCUUUCGUCUGACGGGAGGUAGAGGAACUGUUCGAGACUUUAAUGGAUGAUGGCAGGUUCAAAUAGCGGAUGAGGCCAUCCCACACAUCUGUGGUAAGCUCAGCCCUGCUCAUAACACCUUCACGAUCCAAUCAUCCUUCCAGUUGGAUACCGUGUCCAACAAUAGAGCUUUCGCCUUCCCGCUCGUUCACCCCUAUCGACCAAUGAUAUUUUUCUGUAAAAAGAAAAAUUAGAUUAAUAAUUAGUUUAAAAAAAAUAAAAAGUCGUAAUAAUAAAAAAUAAAGUCUAUAUAAUUAAUUAAUAGUAACUUACGGUGAACAUUUUGAACCACGUCUUUCUGACGUUGUCCGGCGUCAAUUUCCAGUUCGGAUGAGCGUCAGAAAAGUAGCCUUCGAUCACCUCGGUUACGUUCCGAUCGACAGAACCGUCAACCCCAAACCUGAAAAAAACAAAAAAAGUAUUAAAAUUACUUAUUUUUGUUAUAAAAAAACUGCACAAUAAAAAUGUAACAUACCACAAAGUUCCAUCCGGUCAGUCGGGGACUAAGGCAGGUAAACCUUUUCUGCCUAGCUGAGCGAGAAGGUCCUCGACGGUGUAAAUAGCAUAAGGAGCACUCGGCAGCACAAACAAAUCGGGAUGAAUCUCGGCCGCCAUCGGUGGAGGUGCCUCCUCUGGAACAUGAUCAUGAUGUGUGGGUGGCGUAUCAAACCGAGGAACCGGUGGCGGAACAUACGGAGGAACCGGUGGAGGAACAUACGGAGGAACCAGUGGUGCACCAAAUGAAGGCGACUGAGAGACUCACUGAUAAGACUGAGAGUCGGGGACAGUCUCCGGAAACGAAGAAUCAGGAGUUGAAGAAGAUGAUGCGCCUGUACGGCUACCAGGCUCACCAAACAUCUCUCUGUAAUGCGGUGUAAGCUUGUUCUUUCGAACCAUCUGAAAAAAUGAUUAAUUGUCAUUAUUAGCCAUAUAAAACAUAUAAAUAGAUUAUUAAUUAACAUUUAAAAAUCAUCAUCCUAUAUUAUCAACAAAUUCCAUAAACCUAUCUACAAAUUACCUACACUAACCACCUAAUCAACACUAAUUAUUAAACUAACCACCUAAGCUAAAUUAGAGAGGAAGUA